CGGCGUGCCUAAUACAUGCAAGUCGAACGGUCUUUCUAUGGAAGCUUGCUUCCACUGAGAAGAUAGUGGCGAACGGGUGAGUAACACGUGGGUAACCUGCCCAUAAGAGGGGGAUAACAUCCGGAAACGGGUGCUAAUACCGCAUAGUUUUCUUGAUCGCAUGAUUGAGAAAGGAAAGACGGCCUUUGUGCUGUCGCUUAUGGAUGGACCCGCGGCGUAUUAGUUAGUUGGUGAGGUAACGGCUCACCAAGACGAUGAUACGUAGCCGACCUGAGAGGGUGAUCGGCCACAUUGGGACUGAGACACGGCCCAAACUCCUACGGGAGGCAGCAGUAGGGAAUCUUCCGCAAUGGACGAAAGUCUGACGGAGCAACGCCGCGUGAGUGAAAGAAGGUUUUCGGAUCGUAAAACUCUGUUGUCAGAGAAGAACAAGUUGGAGAGUAACUGCUCCAGCCUUGACGGUAUCUGACCAGAAAGCCACGGCUAACUACGUGCCAGCCGCCGC
RNAcentral lists this ribosomal RNA (505 nucleotides) under uncultured bacterium. RNAcentral describes it as "bacterial SSU rRNA". It matches the Rfam family "Bacterial small subunit ribosomal RNA", at positions 40 to 518 of the family's 1533-position model. The record is from RNAcentral.